ACGGGUGAGUAAUGCCUAGGAAUCUGCCUGGUAGUGGGGGACAACGUUUCGAAAGGAACGCUAAUACCGCAUACGUCCUACGGGAGAAAGCAGGGGACCUUCGGGCCUUGCGCUAUCAGAUGAGCCUAGGUUGGAUUAGCUAGUUGGUGAGGUAAUGGCUCACCAAGGCGACGAUCCGUAACUGGUCUGAGAGGACGAUCAGUCACACUGGAACUGAGACACGGUCCAGACUCCUACGGGAGGCAGCAGUGGGGAAUAUUGGACAAUGGGCGAAAGCCUGAUCCAGCCAUGCCGCGUGUGUGAAGAAGGUCUUCGGAUUGUAAAGCACUUUAAGUUGGGAGGAAGGGUUGUAGAUUAAUACUCUGCAAUUUUGACGUUACCGACAGAAUAAGCACCGGCUAACUCUGUGCCAGCAGCCGCGGUAAUACAGAGGGUGCAAGCGUUAAUCGGAAUUACUGGGCGUAAAGCGCGCGUAGGUGGUUUGUUAAGUUGGAUGUGAAAUCCCCGGGCUCAACCUGGGAACUGCAUCCAAAACUGGCAAGCUAGAGUAUGGUAGAGGGUGGUGGAAUUUCCUGUGUAGCGGU
RNAcentral lists this ribosomal RNA (584 nucleotides) under uncultured bacterium. RNAcentral's name for it is "bacterial SSU rRNA". It matches the Rfam family "Bacterial small subunit ribosomal RNA", at positions 102 to 682 of the family's 1533-position model. The record is from RNAcentral.